Non-coding RNA from Arachis ipaensis, 2260 nucleotides. The record is from RefSeq and is a predicted model, not a curated record. Lineage: Eukaryota; Viridiplantae; Streptophyta; Magnoliopsida; Fabales; Fabaceae.
UUUAUUUUGUUAUUACACCAGACACAUGAGAAGCCUCGUUGGCGGAGAGGAAAUCUAUGUGUACAGCCGUGAAGUUCUUGCGUUGAACAUGGUGGUCGUAGUGAUGGGAAGUACAAAUAAUAAUAAAAGAGUGAGUGGGAUCCAAGGAGUCGUGAGAGAGUGGCGAAGGAAACGCUUUUUAGAGGUUAUGAUAAGUUUGAGAUGAGUAAGGGAAUAUGAAAGGUUGAAAUGAGGUGUUGAACGGUGGUUUUUGAUGGGUUUGGGAAUUUUAGUUUGCAGAUUUUGAAUCGAAAUGUGUUAGUUAUGUUCUUCCAUGCUUUCUUGGCUGUUUUAAGCUUAUUCCUUUUUAACUACAAAUCAGACAUAAUAAAAGAAUUGUAUGAGAAAAUUUUCAUUUGAAAAUUGGAUGAUGCGGGUAAAUUUUUAUAGUGGUUUCUGAUAUUCACGUAAUUAUUUAAUUUGGUCUUCCAAGUUUUAAUUUUUUAACAGUGGUCCUCCACAUUCAGUUUUAGACACUAUAGAUUAUUUUGGAUGCUAACUCAGUUGACGGAAUGUUAAUGUGACUGCUGGAGGUAACUAAUCGCUAGAUGAUGUGGCAAGAUUGUAAUGGCAACAUUCAUGAAUUUGAAAAAAUUAUAGGACAACCACUUUACACAUAUAUUUCAUUGCUGGAAAAUGUGAGGGUUUUCAUUUCAUUCGGUUCCCGAAAGGUUGAAAGUUGAAACUCUUCGGCGCGCUUUGUUCACCUUUAAUCAUGAUGUUGUUGUAAUUUAGUGGCGAAUUAAGAUGCUGACUGGAAGAGAAAGCUUGGUUCGUUUGAUCGGAAAACGGCGUCGCUUCCUUCCAAUCGCCAUUCCAUUCUCUCCCUAACCCUUCCUCCUAACCAGGCAUACCAUCCUAUAACUUCACUUUUCCAUUUCUUUAUCUUUCUAAUAUCAACUAUUAAUGCCCACCAACUGUUUGAACUUUGAACUCCCAAGACAAGUAGCAUCUCACAAUUUAACAUGUCCUUAAAUUCAGUUUGCCUCUGCAUUUUUAACUUUAUGGUGAAUGAUGAAUUGAUUAUUUGGUCUGAUAAUAGCAGUUCUGGAAUUCAGUUGGGGAAGGAUAAUGACUUGAAACGAUUUAAGUCUUUAGGGGAUAAUGAGAAUGAGAAUGCACUGUCUUCGAGAUUGUCCCGUUUGUGGGUCUAAGAUCCCUGGAAAUAACCGUGAAAUAGAAUAACCACAUAGUACUCCAUCAUAGGGACUACUAUGGUGUCUGGAACUGAAUGUGGAGGAUCACUAUGAGAAAAUUAGAACCUCAAAGACUAAAUUGAGUAGUUGCGUGAAUCUUAAAGACCACUAUUGGGAUUUACUCUAAGAGGAAAAUAUUAGACUUGAAAAAAUUUGUGCAAUUAUAAUCAACAAAACUUCUUUAAAAUAAGGGAAAGUAUGAGGAUCCAAUAAAAUAUUUGUACAAUAUGUACAAUGGAGGUUUAGGGAGUAUUAGAGAUAUAAUCAUUAGUGUUACAUUUUCCCAUCAGCUGAAGCUUUUGGAAUGAGUGGUAUCAUGACAUGGUAUUAGAACUCUAAAUUCGAAAGGUCAAGAGUUUGAUCCUUGGUAAACCCCAAAAUCGGUUUAAGCUUUUGGGAAGAUGUUUAUUAUCCCUAGUACUCAGAUGGUUAUUCUAGAUAGUAUGGGAAAUGUUCAUUUAUUAUCCUAGUACUCAGAUGGUUAUUCUAGAUAGUAUAAGGGAUGUUCAUUUAGUAACUCAAUAACUCAUUACAAAUAGUCCAUUGGAUCCCGUUAAGCUCAAUUUUAGUCCGAUAUUAAUCUCGUCCUUUUCUUUAUGCAGGCAAAAUUGGAACAUCCUCGUCAUUAAUAACAUAUCAAUUUGUUUAGGUUUAACACUUUUUAGAGUCUUGCUGUUUUUGGUGAGAAAUCUAUAACUUUGUUCAUUUUAGGAGUAGUUAUGUAUUCUACUCAAGUGCAUAUAACAAAAAAUUUUAAUAGAACGAAUUAACAGAAGUUUAACUUUAACAAAUAUAUAUAAUCAAAUUAUUUUUAGUCAAAGGUAGUCAAAACAUCAAUGAAGCAAGAAGCUUGACUGACCAUCUAUAGAAAUGUAACUGAGCUUGUAACAUUAUCCGUCAUUCAUGCAUUUCUUGCUUCUCUAGACAUGUUAAAGGAGUUAAAGUUACACAUGUAGAGAUGUACAAUACCAAAAUUAAGAGCUGUCUCAUGUGAUGGCUCAAAAAGAAAGAAAAAAAAAAAAAAA